RNAcentral lists this ribosomal RNA (566 nucleotides) under uncultured bacterium. Its description in RNAcentral is "partial 16S ribosomal RNA". It matches the Rfam family "Bacterial small subunit ribosomal RNA", at positions 355 to 912 of the family's 1533-position model. The record is from RNAcentral.
UGGGGAAUUUUGGACAAUGGGGGAAACCCUGAUCCAGCCAUCCCGCGUGUGCGAUGAAGGCCUUCGGGUUGUAAAGCACUUUUGGCAGGAAAGAAACGUCGCGGGUUAAUACCCCGCGAAACUGACGGUACCUGCAGAAUAAGCACCGGCUAACUACGUGCCAGCAGCCGCGGUAAUACGUAGGGUGCAAGCGUUAAUCGGAAUUACUGGGCGUAAAGCGUGCGCAGGCGGUUCGGAAAGAAAGAUGUGAAAUCCCAGAGCUUAACUUUGGAACUGCAUUUUUAACUACCGGGCUAGAGUGUGUCAGAGGGAGGUGGAAUUCCGCGUGUAGCAGUGAAAUGCGUAGAUAUGCGGAGGAACACCGAUGGCGAAGGCAGCCUCCUGGGAUAACACUGACGCUCAUGCACGAAAGCGUGGGGAGCAAACAGGAUUAGAUACCCUGGUAGUCCACGCCCUAAACGAUGUCAACUAGCUGUUGGGGCCUUCGGGCCUUGGUAGCGCAGCUAACGCGUGAAGUUGGCCGCCUGGGGAGUACGGUCGCAAGAUUAAAACUCAAAUUAGAAUUG